RNAcentral lists this ribosomal RNA (274 nucleotides) under uncultured bacterium. RNAcentral's name for it is "partial 16S ribosomal RNA". It matches the Rfam family "Bacterial small subunit ribosomal RNA", at positions 523 to 796 of the family's 1533-position model. The record is from RNAcentral.
AUACGGAGGGUGCAAGCGUUAAUCGGAAUUACUGGGCGUAAAGUGUACGUAGGCGGUUAGUUAAGUUAGAUGUGAAAGCCCCGGGCUUAACCUGGGAACUGCAUUUAAAACUGGCGAACUAGAGUUGAGUAGAGGGGAGUGGAAUUUCAGGUGUAGCGGUGAAAUGCGUAGAGAUCUGAAGGAACACCAGUGGCGAAGGCGACUCCCUGGACUCGAACUGACGCUGAGGUACGAAAGCGUGGGUAGCAAACGGGAUUAGAAACCCUAGUAGUCC